UGGGGAAUAUUGGACAAUGGGCGGAAGCCUGAUCCAGCCAUGCCGCGUGUGUGAAGAAGGCCUUUUGGUUGUAAAGCACUUUAAGCGAGGAGGAGGCUCUUCUAGUUAAUACCUAGGAUGAGUGGACGUUACUCGCAGAAUAAGCACCGGCUAACUCUGUGCCAGCAGCCGCGGUAAUACAGAGGGUGCGAGCGUUAAUCGGAUUUACUGGGCGUAAAGCGUGCGUAGGCGGCUGAUUAAGUCGGAUGUGAAAUCCCUGAGCUUAACUUAGGAAUUGCAUUCGAUACUGGUCAGCUAGAGUAUGGGGGAGGAUGGUGGAAUUCCAGGUGGAGCGGUGAAAUGCGUAGAGAUCUGGAGGAAUACCGAUGGCGAAGGCAGCCAUCUGGCCUAAUACUGACGCUGAGGUACGAAAGCAUGGGGAGCAAACAGG
RNAcentral lists this ribosomal RNA (430 nucleotides) under Pseudomonadota bacterium. RNAcentral's name for it is "Proteobacteria bacterium partial 16S ribosomal RNA". It matches the Rfam family "Bacterial small subunit ribosomal RNA", at positions 355 to 776 of the family's 1533-position model. Lineage: Bacteria; Pseudomonadati; Pseudomonadota. The record is from RNAcentral.